This is a long non-coding RNA of Papaver somniferum (opium poppy), 437 nucleotides long. RefSeq lists it as uncharacterized. The transcript is spliced from 5 exons. The record is from RefSeq and is a predicted model, not a curated record. Lineage: Eukaryota; Viridiplantae; Streptophyta; Magnoliopsida; Ranunculales; Papaveraceae.
UUGCGAGGUAUUGCGCUGGUGGGAAGUGAACUGCAGUGGGGUUGGCAUCAGCUUGUGUACCUUCUAGAUUACCAGGACAAAAGAUAGUGCCAACUUAUGAAGCUUCAUCUUACCUAGUUGCAGUUAACUAGGCACUCUAAGAAGAGAAAUAUGCUUCCCGGAGAGGGAUUCUCCCUAUGCUUCAAGCCGAAAAGGAUGAAAGAUUCGCCAGCCAAUGAAAAAAGUAUUUAGACUAGAGGAAGAAGCGAGAAUCAUGACGGAUGUUCCAGGAUGGAAAGUCGGUGAAAGCGUUUAACACUAUCCUGAUGUCUGGAUUGCCUACAUCGAGUUGCUCUAUUUCAUCAGAAAGGGUGGAGAACAAAGCAACUUCAAGGUUUGUAAGUUCCAUGUAUUCAAGUUUUGUAGGCAGUUAGUAAGUUUGUAUCUGUUCCUUUAGA